GCACCACAACAGCGUGGAGUAUGUGGCUUAAUUUGACUCAACGCGGAAAAGCUUAUCUGGUCCGGACGCAGUGAGGAUUGACAGACAGUUAGACAAAAGUGGUUUUUGGUAACAAAUUGAGAGAGGUGAAGUUCUUUCAUGAUCUUGUGAGAGGUGGUGCAUGGCCGUUCUUAGUUCGUGUAGUGAUAUGUCUGCCUAAUCGCGUCACGAUAACCUAUUGGUCGACAACCCAAUUAUCACAACUGCAGCAUAACUCCCCUUGGGUGGGCGAGGCUCUGUGUAGGAUAGACCUCUGAACAGUACGCAACGAACGUGAUCGUAAACCCUUGUUGAGUGGCCAUCCUGUAAGCUGCUGGAUUAGGAACCCAGUGGUAUUAUCUCAGCCACAGAUUUUCUGGUUGUAAUGGGCCAGUUUUGAAACUCGGGGCACAUCUGUGACUUUCUUUCUUAACGCAGAGGAAGGUUAUGGCAAUAACAGGUCUGUGAUG
This 488-nucleotide ribosomal RNA is filed under the name Globigerina bulloides. Its description in RNAcentral is "SSU rRNA". It matches the Rfam family "Eukaryotic small subunit ribosomal RNA", at positions 1164 to 1469 of the family's 1831-position model. Lineage: Eukaryota; Foraminifera; Rotaliida; Globigerinidae. The record is from RNAcentral.